UUUUUCAUUUUUUUUAUUACUCAAAUGAAUUUAUCACAUCUGUAGUUGUAUAAUGAUCAUAACAAUCUGAUUUCACAGGAUUUCCAUCCCACAGCCCAAGCACAUCCCCCACCCCCAAACUCUCUCCUCAAGAGACCAUAAGCUUUUCAAUGUCUGUGAGUCAGCAUCUGUUCUGCAAAGAAGUUCUGUCUGUCCUUUUUUCAGAUUCCACAUGUCAGUGAAAGCAUUUGAUGUUGGUGUCUCAUUGUAUGGCUGACUUCACUUAGCAUGAUAGUUUCUAGGUCCAUCCAUGUUGCUAAAAAUGCUGGUAUUUCAUUCUUUUUAAUGGCUUAGUAAUAUUCCAUUGUGUAUAUGUACCACUUCAUCUUGAUCCAUUCCUCUGUCGAUGGACAUCUAGGUUGUUUCCAUGUUUUGGCUAUUGUAAAUUGUGCUGCAAUGAACAUUGGAGUACAUGUGUCUUUGCAAGUCGUGGUUUUCUCUGGAUAGAUGCCCAGGAGUGGGAUUGCUGGAUCAAAUGGGAGUUCUAUGUUUAGUUUUCUGAGGACUCUCCAUACUGCUUUCCACAGAGGUUACACCAAUUUACAAUCCCACCAACAUGUACUAGGGUUCCUUUUUCUCCACACCCACUCCAGUACUUAUUGUUGGUAGACUUUUGGAUGAUGGCCAUUCUGGCUGGUGUGAGGUGGUACCUCAGAGUGGUUUUGAUUUGCAUUUCUCUAAGUAUGAGUGAUGUUGAUCAUCUUUUCAUGUGUUUUUUGGUCACCUGUAUGUCUUCUUUGGAGAACUGUCUAUUUAGAUCAUCUGCCCAUUUUUUGAUGGGGUUGUAUUGUUUUUUUAGUAUGGAGCUGCAGAAGGUGUUUAUAAAUUUUGGAGAUGAAUCCCUUGUCAGUCGAUUCAUUUGCAAAGAUUUUCUCCCAUUCUGUGGGUUGUCUUUUUGUGUUGUUUAGGGUUUCCUUUGCUGUGUGGAAACUAUUAAGUUUGAUUAGGUCUCAUUUGUUUCUUUUUGUUUUUACUGUCAUUACUCUAAGAGGUGGACCUGAGAAGAUGUUUAUGUUGGAGAGUGUUUGGCCUAUGUUUUCCUCUAAGAGUUUUAGAGUGUCUGGUCUUAUAUCUAGGUCUUUAAUCCAUUUGGAGUUUAUUUUUGUGUAUGGUGUUAGGGAGUGUUCUAAUUUCAUUCUUUUACGUGUGUCUGUCCAGUUUUCCCAGCACCACUUAUUGAAGGGCUAUCUUUUCUCCAUUGUAUGUUUUUGCCUCCUUUGUCAUAGAUUAGUUGACUGUAGGUGCAUGCAUUGAAUUCUGGGCUUUC
Molecule: long non-coding RNA, 1306 nt
Filed under: Sus scrofa (pig)
Lineage: Eukaryota; Metazoa; Chordata; Mammalia; Artiodactyla; Suidae
Description: lncRNA (ENSSSCG00000042115.2)
Source: RNAcentral